RNAcentral lists this ribosomal RNA (793 nucleotides) under Triticum aestivum (bread wheat). RNAcentral describes it as "partial small subunit ribosomal RNA". The record is from RNAcentral. Lineage: Eukaryota; Viridiplantae; Streptophyta; Magnoliopsida; Poales; Poaceae.
GGCGGCGGCUCUAGAUUUUAAAGGGGGCGCGGCGCUCGUCGCGCGAAGGUGGCGGCGGAUUAGGAGUCGGAGCGACGGAGGAGGUGGUGGCGCGAGGUUAGCCUAGGUCAAGAAACGGCCGGUAAUGGACGCGGAGGGGCUGACGGAAAACGGCGGGGGUGGAGGCGGAGGCUCUGGAUCUAGGGUGGCGGCGUGUGUAGGGGCGGGUCGAGCGACCAGCGGACAUGGAGGCGGGGGUGAACUGGAUAGGAAGGGCGAGUCGAGCUGGCGGACAAGGAGCACCUAUGAAGGGGGGAGAGGGCGCAGCAAUUGGAGGGGCAGCCGUCAGCGCUUCUUUUGGGUGCGGGCAAUGUGCUCAGGGGUUAGAAGGAGAUGCAGUAGCCGGAGUUCUCAUGCUACAGGUACGUUGGGGCGCUCGGUGUUGUGUGGAACUGACUUGAAGAGGUCGAGGAAGCCUUCCAAGAGACGUGAUCAGUGUAUAUUUCCGUUCGUCCUCGGACGUACCAGCACUUUCGUACUCUACCGAUUCCUAGGGCGAUGUAUAACCCUCUCCACCAAUCUGUUGGAACAUGUUGUUCACCUCCUCCUUAAGACCUUAAUGAUAUCUACCGUUCUUCCGUGACUCCAACGACGUUCUUCCCGACAAGUGUUGAGUUAGUUUUUUUAUAUCUACUAUACUAUAUACUCCGUGCCCAAAUCCGACAUCACCUGAUAAUUAAAAAAACAAAAUUUUUGUCUCUAUACAGCCGGCUUGCGAACAUCCUGAAUAGAAUGACACCUAGUCAUAUACCUC